UACGUAGGGGGCGAGCGUUGUCCGGAGUUACUGGGCGUAAAGCGCACGCAGGCGGUCUGCUAAGUUUGGAGUGACAGUUGGCGGCUUAACUGCCAAAGUGCUUCGAAAACUGACAGACUUGAGGGCUUCAGAGGGACACGGAAUUCCGGGUGGAGUGGUGAAAUGCGUAGAGAUCCGGAGGAACACCAAAGGCGAAGGCAGUGUCCUGGGGAGUAACUGACGCUCAGGUGCGAAAGCCAGGGGAGCGAACGGG
RNAcentral lists this ribosomal RNA (253 nucleotides) under uncultured bacterium. RNAcentral describes it as "partial 16S ribosomal RNA". It matches the Rfam family "Bacterial small subunit ribosomal RNA", at positions 524 to 776 of the family's 1533-position model. The record is from RNAcentral.